AGUGCAGCUGUCUCCAUCAUGAGUCAGCACGGAUGCUCUGCUGGACGAGGGAGGCCAAGUUCUCCUGCUCUCCAUGAGACAGGGGAGGAGAGUGACCUGUCAAGCGUACAGCACAUAAACUUCAGAAAGGAAGACGCCUCUCCUGAUCACAGUCUAGUGGAGGAGAAACCAGACUCACCAGUACCCAGCAGUGUGUCCAUGAUGAGUGAUCUAUCAAUGGGUCUGAUCAUGGAUGUGAAAGAGGGAAACAUCAAUCCUGAGACAAGCAUCCAACAAGAACAAACAAUUCAUCCAUUCCUCAG
Molecule: long non-coding RNA, 302 nt
Organism: Sardina pilchardus (European sardine)
Lineage: Eukaryota; Metazoa; Chordata; Actinopteri; Clupeiformes; Clupeidae
Exons: 3
Source: RefSeq, a predicted model, not a curated record